Molecule: transfer RNA, 70 nt
Filed under: Schizocardium brasiliense
Lineage: Eukaryota; Metazoa; Hemichordata; Enteropneusta; Spengelidae
Description: tRNA-Tyr
Rfam family: tRNA
About the family: Transfer RNA (tRNA) molecules are approximately 80 nucleotides in length. Their secondary structure includes four short double-helical elements and three loops (D, anti-codon, and T loops).
Source: RNAcentral
GGCAGUAUGGCUGAAAGUAGGCGGCGGAUUGUAAGUCCGUUUUAUGGGGGUUCGAGUCCUUCUGCUGCUA